RNAcentral lists this ribosomal RNA (426 nucleotides) under uncultured Acinetobacter sp. RNAcentral's name for it is "bacterial SSU rRNA". It matches the Rfam family "Bacterial small subunit ribosomal RNA", at positions 356 to 774 of the family's 1533-position model. Lineage: Bacteria; Pseudomonadati; Pseudomonadota; Gammaproteobacteria; Moraxellales; Moraxellaceae. The record is from RNAcentral.
GGGGAAUAUUGGACAAUGGGGGGAACCCUGAUCCAGCCAUGCCGCGUGUGUGAAGAAGGCCUUAUGGUUGUAAAGCACUUUAAGCGAGGAGGAGGCUCUUUUGGUUAAUACCCGGUUGUUCUGACGGUACCCAAAGAAUAAGCACCGGCUAACUCUGUGCCAGCAGCCGCGGUAAUACAGAGGGUGCGAGCGUUAAUCGGAUUUACUGGGCGUAAAGCGUGCGUAGGCGGCUUUUUAAGUCGGAUGUGAAAUCCCCGAGCUUAACUUGGGAAUUGCAUUCGAUACUGGGAAGCUAGAGUAUGGGAGAGGAUGGUAGAAUUCCAGGUGUAGCGGUGAAAUGCGUAGAGAUCUGGAGGAAUACCGAUGGCGAAGGCAGCCAUCUGGCCUAAUACUGACGCUGAGGUACGAAAGCAUGGGGAGCAAACA